UACGCAGUUACGCAGAAUUAACGCAGUUAAUUACACUUUAGUAUGUCCCGCCAUCUACAGUGAAUCUUCAAUGUUUAUACCUUCCACCAUCCUCGAAGUGGUAACAUAAACCCUGAGAUGCAUAUGCAGUAGCAAUGUUAAAAAAGUGCCAUCGAUUUGCGGAAGUUAUUCAUCUCAUGGGGCUUUGAAGAAUAUGUAUAUCGUUUUGAAUUAUACUAUUAUAUGAACUGCAGAUGCCAGAUAUAUAUUCUCGCGGGCUAUGGCCUGUCGCUCCUUCAAUUUACAACGGCACCUACAUUUCUUCGAACCUCUACAGAUUAUCGACAUUAUAUGCUAUUCUCGUCAUAUACGUCUGGACGACGUGACUCUCUUCGAUGCCACAAGCCUGCAAGACAUACGUCUUAACAUCGUCUAUAUACAUAUAUAUUGAAGCGAAGCAAUAGACCAAAGUGUAUAUUCGAGAAACUGCCGUUUGCAAAGAAAGCUCAUAAGUCUAUGAAAAAGUCGCUCUCUUUGAGAGAGGGUAAAACAUAUUGCCAGGAAGUUUGAAACCCGCCGCCAAGAAAAUAUGGGACAAAACAAAUUGAGCCAUUAAAAUACACACACACACAUAUUUCUUCACAAAAAUCCACAAGUCUUAUGAUAUUUAUAAUUACUCUUAGAAGAAUAUAAUGAGAGAGAAACGAAUCAGUAUUGCUUGGAAUAAUGGACAUCUAUUGCCGACUGAAAAUUAGGCAUGACCUUAUUCGUUCUGCACGUAAAUUAAAGAUUUUAAAAUUACGUCACUUGGAAUGGGAUAUAUAUACCUUACGCUAGUGUCUGUCAUCUAAAUGAGCAACGGGGUACCUAGUGAUAAAACAUACUUUAUAUAUAAAUAAAGAUUGCUUUAGCUUCGCUGUUGGCGAUAGAUUUAGCGAAGAAACGAUGAUGAUCCUGUAUAUACGCAGAAAACCCAUGGCGUAUCGAAGAAUCGUCUCGGACUUUCCAAGAAUCAACCUGUUCCUUGAUAUUGUUCGCUAAAGCUUCUCUAAUUGGGUGGUCCCCUCCCCCCAUUAGUGAAAGCUAUUAUCGACUGCUUCGCUGAUUUUUUCGUGCACAACACUCUUGAUGAGCGCAAAAGGAACUACAUUAUACACAGGUGCAACAAGGUGUAUAUGCCAAUCGAAGUGCCCCUGGGGUUUCCUCUCGAUGAGUCGUUUAUAUAUAUAUAUAUAUAUAUAUAUAUAUAUAUACCAAAGAGAUCGAUUCCAGAGACAAUGAUGAUGAUUAUUGGAGUUGAGGUUGACACAACAAAUUUUUUUCCGUGCAGCAGCAGCAGAAGAAGAUUUAAGAGUGUUAAUAAGGUGCCAUGGAUUUGCAGAAGUUAUUAAUCUCAUAGGGGUUCGAAAAAUUUGUAGAUCGUUUUGAAUUGAGAAUCGAUACAAUAAAGUGAGAUAAAGUGAAAACGAAUUAAGUUAAAAAACGGCGGUGUGGAAAUUUUUAAAAUAAUUCUUCUAAGGCCUAAUUUUGACAGUCUCAACCGUUUCAACCUCUGCAGUUAAUUAUUAUAUGAAUCCGAAGCGAAAAAAAUUUGCGAUCUUUCGUCACGUAUCAAAGGAAUGUAAUUAGAAAUUCAAAGUACGUGACACAGCUCCGACGAAUUGGAUUGACAAAAAUAUACCGGCUGGAUCCACUGGUGAAAAUUGCGAAAAUUUUUAAAGAAGAAAGAAGGAUUCCGACAACAACAUCAAGGGACAGUCUUGAAAAUUAUUGUAUAACAUCGUGGAAAAGAAAUUAUCUAUAAAUUAUUAAUAAUUAUAAUUUUUAAAAACGGAAAAUUCAAAUUUAAAUGGAUCGCGCGCCUUUUCCAACAAAUCAACGCCUGGUGUUCUGUAUUACGUCAAGCGCGCCAAUUCCAGUAGAAAAACAUUUCCAGCCAAUCAGAGGACAGCGUUCAUAGCGAAUAGUGUCUUCCACCACCUCCAACGUCGCGCGCCACUUCGCAAAAUUGUCAACCAAUCAACGCCCGGCGUUGUCAACAGAAAUCUCCAGCGACAUUUUUCGCGUCUUCAAGCAUUUAGUCCGCCAUUAGCCACGUGCCUGCAUCGUCCUCAUUGUGUGAAGACGAGGUUCCGGAAUUUCGAUUAGUAGUCAACCAUCUGAAGAGGAAAUAAAAUCAUUCUGUAAAGGUACAAGUGUUUUUACUGGUCAUUACAAACGGAGCUGGAAUUUAAUUUUUUCAUUGAAAUAUUUUGUAUAUUUAUGUAUAUUACAGUUUUAUUUAUUAUGCGAUUAUUGUUAUUAAUUAAUUUUAAGUUACUAUUGUAUUAAGAAUUGAUGAUAAUAAAUAAAAAUAUUUAUACAAUAUAAGUAAAUUAUUGAGACAGUCCAAUUACACUCCUAAUCAAGACAUCAAAAUUAUAUUUUAAAUUUGAUAUUUAUUUGUAAUCUUUAACUUCAGGCUACGUAAUAUUAAGUUACAAGGUUUAGUCAAAAGUUGUAUAAAUAUUAAAAUGUCCGCACUGAUUAUAUUUUUGGUGAACUUUUGCACAAUAAAUUUAAACAAGUCCGACAUUUUAGUAAUUAUAAAACCUUUACUAAUCCUCGCAACUCAACAUUCUGAACUUUGCAGUAUUCUUAUAUAUUUUUAAAUAAUUUUCUACUGAAAUAGUAAAAACAAAGCUUAUUAACAACAAUAUCGACACAAUAACAAUAAAAAUGUAAUAAACAUAUAGAUACAAUAAGUAUGCUGUGAAAGGGGUUUUUGAAGUCACCAAACAUUUGUAACAACCAAUGAUAACAAUUGCAUCUCAAAAGAUUUUUUCCACUUUUCAGAUGAUUGUUUAAUAAUUUACAAAAAAUACAUCAAUCAAAUAAAUAAACAAGUAAAUUAAUAAAUAAUUGAAUAUAUUUAUCCUCUUUUAUUAAAUAAAUUUAAACAAAUAAAUAAGUAGUAAUAAAAACAACAAAAAAUAAUAAUAAUUCAUAGUAAUAAUAAUAAAAAGAUGUUUUUUUGUUUGUUUGCAUUGUUUCUUAAAAUGAUGAAAUUUUUAAUAAAUAUUAAAUAAAUAUUUUUU
Molecule: long non-coding RNA, 3056 nt
Organism: Leptopilina boulardi
Lineage: Eukaryota; Metazoa; Arthropoda; Insecta; Hymenoptera; Figitidae
Exons: 10
Source: RefSeq, a predicted model, not a curated record